AAACCAGCACCUCAAGUGGUCAGGAUGAUUAUUGGGUCUAAAGCAUCCGUAGCCUGCUCUGUAAGUUUUCGGUUAAAUCUGUACGCUCAACGUACAGGCUGCCGGGAAUACUGCAGAGCUAGGGAGUGGGAGAGGUAGACGGUACUCGGGAGGAAGUGGUAAAAUGCUUUGAUCUCUCGAUGACCACCUGUGGCGAAGGCGGUCUACCAGAACACGUCCGACGGUGAGGGAUGAAAGCUGGGGGAGCAAACCGGAUUAGAAACCCGAGUAGUCC
RNAcentral lists this ribosomal RNA (274 nucleotides) under uncultured bacterium. Its description in RNAcentral is "partial 16S ribosomal RNA". It matches the Rfam family "Archaeal small subunit ribosomal RNA", at positions 473 to 747 of the family's 1478-position model. The record is from RNAcentral.